AGCGGCGGACGGGUGAGUAACGCGUGAACAAUCUGUCCCAGACAGGGGGAUAACAACCUGAAAAGGUUGCUAAUACCGCAUAAGACCACGUUCUCGCAUGGGAAUGGGGUAAAAGGAGCAAUCCGGUUUGGGGUGAGUUCGCGUCUGAUUAGCUAGUUGGUGAGGUAACGGCCCACCAAGGCGACGAUCAGUAGCCGAUCUGAGAGGAUGACCGGCCACAUUGGAACUGAGACACGGUCCAAACUCCUACGGGAGGCAGCAGUGGGGAAUAUUGGGCAAUGGGCGAAAGCCUGACCCAGCAACGCCGCGUGAGGGAAGAAGGUUUUCGGAUUGUAAACCUCUGUCCUUGGGGAAGAAGAACUGACGGUACCCAUGGAGGAAGCCCCGGCUAACUACGUGCCAGCAGCCGCGGUAAUACGUAGGGGGCAAGCGUUAUCCGGAAUUAUUGGGCGUAAAGCGUGCGUAGGUGGUUCUUUAAGCGCAGGGUUUAAGGCAAUGGCCCCACCAUUGUUCGCCCUGCGAACUGGAGGACUUGAGUGCAGGAGAGGAAAAGCGGAAUUCCUAGUGUAGCGGUGAAAUGCGUAGAUAUUAGGAGGAACACCAGUGGCGAAGGCGGCUUUCUGGACUGUAACUGACACUGAGGGCACGAAAGCGUGGGGAGCAAACAGGAUUAGAUACCCUGGUAGUCCACGCCGUAAACGAUGAGCACUAGGUGUCGGGGGAGCAAUCCUUCGGUGCCGCAGUUAACGCAUUAAGUGCUCCGCCUGGGGAGUACGCACGCAAGUGUGAAACUCAAAGGAAUUGACGGGGACCCGCACAAGCAGCGGAGCAUGUGGUUUAAUUCGAAGCAACGCGAAGAACCUUACCAGGACUUGACAUCCCUCUGACCGGUCCUUAACCGGACCUUCCCUUCGGGGCAGAGGAGACAGGUGGUGCAUGGUUGUCGUCAGCUCGUGUCGUGAGAUGUUGGGUUAAGUCCCGCAACGAGCGCAACCCUUGCCAUUAGUUGCCAUCAUUGAGUUGGGCACUCUAGUGGGACUGCCGGGGACAACUCGGAGGAAGGUGGGGAUGACGUCAAAUCAUCAUGCCCCUUAUGUUCUGGGCUACACACGUGCUACAAUGGCCGGUACAGAAAGCAGCGAACCCGCGAGGGGGAGCGAAUCUCGAAAACCGGUCCCAGUUCGGACUGCAGGCUGCAACCCGCCUGCACGAAGCCGGAGUAAAUAGUAAUCGCGGAUCAGAAUGCCGCGGUGAA
Molecule: ribosomal RNA, 1255 nt
Filed under: uncultured bacterium
Lineage: Bacteria
Description: partial 16S ribosomal RNA
Rfam family: Bacterial small subunit ribosomal RNA
Source: RNAcentral